AGAGUUUGAUCCUGGCUCAGGAUAAACGCUGGCGGCGCACAUAAGACAUGCAAGUCGAACGAACUUAACUCAUUCUUUUAGAUUGAGAGCGGUUAGUGGCGGACUGGUGAGUAACGCGUAAGGAACCUGCCUUUUAGAGGGGAAUAACAAUGAGAAAUCAUUGCUAAUACCGCAUAUGCCAUAGUUAUCACAUGAUAAUAGUGGGAAAGGAGCAAUUCGCUAAAAGAUGGCCUUGCGUCUGAUUAGAUAGUUGGUAAGGUAACGGCUUACCAAGUCGACGAUCAGUAGCCGGACUGAGAGGUUGAACGGCCACAUUGGGACUGAGAUACGGCCCAGACUCCUACGGGAGGCAGCAGUCGGGAAUAUUGCGCAAUGGAGGAAACUCUGACGCAGUGACGCCGCGUAUAGGAAGAAGGUUUUCGGAUUGUAAACUAUUGUCGUUAGGGAAGAGAAAGGACAGUACCUAAGGAGGAAGCUCCGGCUAACUACGUGCCAGCAGCCGCGGUAAUACGUAGGGAGCGAGCGUUAUCCGGAAUUAUUGGGUGUAAAGGGUGCGUAGACGGGAAAGCAAGUUAGUUGUGAAAUCCCUCGGCUUAACUGAGGAACUGCAACUAAAACUACUUUUCUUGAGUGCAGGAGAGGUAAGUGGAAUUCCUAGUGUAGCGGUGAAAUGCGUAGAUAUUAGGAGGAACACCAGUGGCGAAGGCGACUUACUGGACUGUAACUGACGUUGAGGCACGAAAGUGUGGGGAGCAAACAGGAUUAGAUACCCUGGUAGUCCACACCGUAAACGAUGGAUACUAGGUGUAGGAGAUAUUAAGUCUUCUGUGCCGUCGCAAACGCAAUAAGUAUCCCACCUGGGGAGUACGGCCGCAAGGUUGAAACUCAAAGGAAUUGACGGGGGCCCGCACAAGCAGUGGAGUAUGUGGUUUAAUUCGAAGCAACGCGAAGAACCUUACCAGGGCUUGACAUAUAUAGGAAUAUACUAGAGAUAGUAUAGCUCUUCGGAGUCUAUAUACAGGUGGUGCAUGGUUGUCGUCAGCUCGUGUCGUGAGAUGUUGGGUUAAGUCCCGCAACGAGCGCAACCCU
Molecule: ribosomal RNA, 1089 nt
Filed under: uncultured bacterium
Lineage: Bacteria
Description: bacterial SSU rRNA
Rfam family: Bacterial small subunit ribosomal RNA
Source: RNAcentral